GAGAACAUGCAUUAAUUGAGCGCUGCAUAUACGUGUUGUUUAAUCAUCAUAGUCGUCAAGAUUAAGUAUACAGGAGAAGUUUGGUUACAAACAAAGGUAAAACUUUAAAUGCUCGUGACCACAGCAAUCAACAUGCUUUAUUUUGCCUUAUCCCAAUUGAAUAAAUCGCUCGAAGUCGGAAAAGUUGUUUCAUUUGAAAUCAACUGUGAGAAUAAAACUCUUGCAUCAGUGUCCGGUGGAUUUGCAG
This is a long non-coding RNA of Mytilus californianus (California mussel), 247 nucleotides long. RefSeq lists it as uncharacterized. The transcript has 4 exons. The record is from RefSeq and is a predicted model, not a curated record. Lineage: Eukaryota; Metazoa; Mollusca; Bivalvia; Mytilida; Mytilidae.